UAGCUAGUUGGUGAGGUAAAGGCUUACCAAGGCGACGAUCUGUAGCGGGUCUGAGAGGAUGAUCCGCCACACUGGAACUGAGACACGGUCCAGACUCCUACGGGAGGCAGCAGUGGGGAAUUUUGCACAAUGGGGGCAACCCUGAUCCAGCCAUGCCGCGUGAGUGAAGAAGGCCUUCGGGUUGUAAAGCUCUUUCGGCCGGGAAGAAAUCGCAUGGGCCAAUACCCUGUGUGGAUGACGGUACCGGAAUAAGAAGCACCGGCUAACUACGUGCCAGCAGCCGCGGUAAUACGUAGGGUGCGAGCGUUAAUCGGAAUUACUGGGCGUAAAGCGUGCGCAGGCGGUUUUGUAAGACAGGCGUGAAAUCCCCGGGCUUAACCUGGGAACUGCGUUUGUGACUGCAAGGCUAGAGUACGGCAGAGGGGGGUGGAAUUCCACGUGUAGCAGUGAAAUGCGUAGAGAUGUGGAGGAACACCAAUGGCGAAGGCAGCCCCCUGGGUCGAUACUGACGCUCAUGCACGAAAGCGUGGGUAGCAAACAGGAUUAGAUACCCUGGUAGUCCACGCCCUAAACUAUGUCAACUAGGUGUUGGGUGGGUAAAACCAUUUAGUACCGUAGCUAACGCGUGAAGUUGACCGCCUGGGGAGUACGGCCGCAAGGUUAAAACUCAAAGGAAUUGACGGGGACCCGCACAAGCGGUGGAUGAUGUGGAUUAAUUCGAUGCAACGCGAAAAACCUUACCUACCCUUGACAUGCCAGGAACUUGCCAGAGAUGGCUUGGUGCCCGAAAGGGAGCCUGGACACAGGUGCUGCAUGGCUGUCGUCAGCUCGUGUCGUGAGAUGUUGGGUUAAGUCCCGCAACGAGCGCAACCCUUGUCGUUAAUUGCCAUCAUUUAGUUGGGCACUUUAACGAGACUGCCGGUGACAAACCGGAGGAAGGUGGGGAUGACGUCAAGUCCUCAUGGCCCUUAUGGGUAGGGCUUCACACGUCAUACAAUGGUCGGUACAAAGGGUUGCCAAGCCGCGAGGCGGAGCCAAUCCCAGAAAGCCGAUCGUAGUCCGGAUUGCAGGCUGCAACUCGCCUGCAUGAAGUCGGAAUCGCUAGUAAUCGUGGAUCAGCAUGUCACGGUGAAUACGUUCCCGAGUCUUGUACACACCGCCCGUCACACCAUGGGAGCGGGUUCCGCCAGAAGUAGGUAGCCUAACCGCAAGGGGGGCGCUUACCACGGCGGGGUUCGUGACUGGGGUGAAGUCGUAACAAGGUAGCCGUAGGGGAACCUGCGGCUG
This 1287-nucleotide ribosomal RNA is filed under the name metagenome. RNAcentral's name for it is "bacterial SSU rRNA". It matches the Rfam family "Bacterial small subunit ribosomal RNA", at positions 242 to 1520 of the family's 1533-position model. The record is from RNAcentral.